AAACAACUUUUCUUGUACUGAGCUGCACACCGACAAAAUGUGGCUCAAAAAGAAUUUGCUGAUGUGUUCAAGUAUUUCAACACAUUAAACGUGUCCAUGCACGGAAGGGGGGCACAUUAUCGCACUGUCGGCAAAUCAUGUUUUCAAAGCCAUUUUUUUUCCGAAGCUUAUAAUGAAGCACAACAGCUGGAUGCCGCGAGGGGAAAAAAUCCACUGAUGAAAACGAAACGUCUCAGCACAUUGCAAGUACGGUUUAAUGACUACUUCCCACAGAACCAUUGAGGUGAUCAAAGGAUAUGCGAUCGCUUUGGAAUCGACAUGGAAAGCAUCACAUUGUCGAGCCGUUGAUGAGAUACGGUUGGUCAUGUGAUCAGACGUUGAGCAAGACCAAUCGUGCCCAGGAGACAAUCCUUCCCAAAGAUGAGCUGCUGCCAGCCCUGAUUACGGCACAGAGCCAGAAUCAAUACCUCGCAACUUCCAAACACAGCCUUAUCCUGUCAGACUGCAGAGCCCACAGUGCAGCAGAGACCAUCAAAGCAAACAGUUAUUACUAACACGAGCAGGUUCACUUUGGUACUUUUGCCGAUUAUACUGAGCUGAGCUGCAGCUCCUCUUCAAAACGACGAAAAAUAAUCUCCUCUGUAUGUCGCCCUCUAUUUGGCUCCUAUUUGGUUCCCAAAGAUGAAGCUCCAGCACAAAAGUCGCCUUCUGACACCCUUGUGGAGACCGGCACGUAUCUCAGAAGGUGCUUGACACGCUUCGAAUAGAAGACUUCCAGGACACAUCUCAGAAGUGGCAAAAACGCUGGGAGCGUUGUACUGUCGUACAAGGGGACUAUUUUGAAGGUGAUGUGUAAAUGUAGAUAAUAAAGUACUUUGUUGUAAACAGA
Molecule: long non-coding RNA, 889 nt
Organism: Silurus meridionalis
Lineage: Eukaryota; Metazoa; Chordata; Actinopteri; Siluriformes; Siluridae
Exons: 4
Source: RefSeq, a predicted model, not a curated record